CUUCACCGACCCGAGCAGCAGCGGGUGGCUCCGCUCCCGACCGUAGGCGGCGAGGAUCGCCUGCGCCUC
This 69-nucleotide antisense RNA is filed under the name Actinophytocola xanthii. RNAcentral describes it as "ASpks TB sRNA". It matches the Rfam family "ASpks TB sRNA". Lineage: Bacteria; Bacillati; Actinomycetota; Actinomycetes; Pseudonocardiales; Pseudonocardiaceae. The record is from Rfam by way of RNAcentral.